ACUAUAGCAAGGAGGUCACACCUGUUCCCAUGCCGAACACAGAAGUUAAGCUCCUUAGCGUCGAUGGUAGUCGAACUUACGUUCCGCUAGAGUAGAACGUUGCCAGGCAAGAAAUGGAUGCGAUGAGCCGCAUUGAGACCGCAAGGUCUCUUUUUUUAUGUCUAAAGUAGCAAAGUAAAAAAGUAAAGACAAAGAAAGAUGGCUUGGCGAAGUGNNNNNNNNNNNNNNNNNNGAGGGGCCCCUCUCGGGUUACCGAAUUCAGACAAACUCCGAAUGCCAAUUAAUUUAACUUGGGAGUCAGAACAUGGGUGAUAAGGUCCGUGUUCGAAAGGGAAACAGCCCAGACCACCAGCUAAGGUCCCAAAAUAUAUGUUAAGUGGAAAAGGAUGUGGCGUUGCCCAGACAACUAGGAUGUUGGCUUAGAAGCAGCCAUCAUUUAAAGAGUGCGUAAUAGCUCACUAGUCGAGUGACACUGCGCCGAAAAUGUACCGGGGCUAAACAUAUUACCGAAGCUGUGGAUUGUCCUUUGGACAAUGGUAGGAGAGCGUUCUAAGGGCGUUGAAGCAUGAUCGUAAGGACAUGUGGAGCGCUUAGAAGUGAGAAUGCCGGUGUGAGUAGCGAAAGACGGGUGAGAAUCCCGUCCACCGAUUGACUAAGGUUUCCAGAGGAAGGCUCGUCCGCUCUGGGUUAGUCGGGUCCUAAGCUGAGGCCGACAGGCGUAGGCGAUGGAUAACAGGUUGAUAUUCCUGUACCACCUAUAAUCGUUUUAAUCGAUGGGGGGACGCAGUAGGAUAGGCGAAGCGUGCGAUUGGAUUGCACGUCUAAGCAGUAAGGCUGAGUAUUAGGCAAAUCCGGUACUCGUUAAGGCUGAGCUGUGAUGGGGAGAAGACAUUGUGUCUUCGAGUCGUUGAUUUCACACUGCCGAGAAAAGCCUCUAGAUAGAAAAUAGGUGCCCGUACCGCAAACCGACACAGGUAGUCAAGAUGAGAAUUCUAAGGUGAGCGAGCGAACUCUCGUUAAGGAACUCGGCAAAAUGACCCCGUAACUUCGGGAGAAGGGGUGCUCUUUAGGGUUAACGCCCAGAAGAGCCGCAGUGAAUAGGCCCAAGCGACUGUUUAUCAAAAACACAGGUCUCUGCUAAACCGUAAGGUGAUGUAUAGGGGCUGACGCCUGCCCGGUGCUGGAAGGUUAAGAGGAGUGGUUAGCUUCUGCGAAGCUACGAAUCGAAGCCCCAGUAAACGGCGGCCGUAACUAUAACGGUCCUAAGGUAGCGAAAUUCCUUGUCGGGUAAGUUCCGACCCGCACGAAAGGCGUAACGAUUUGGGCACUGUCUCAACGAGAGACUCGGUGAAAUCAUAGUACCUGUGAAGAUGCAGGUUACCCGCGACAGGACGGAAAGACCCCGUGGAGCUUUACUGUAGCCUGAUAUUGAAAUUCGGCACAGCUUGUACAGGAUAGGUAGGAGCCUUUGAAACGUGAGCGCUAGCUUACGUGGAGGCGCUGGUGGGAUACUACCCUAGCUGUGUUGGCUUUCUAACCCGCACCACUUAUCGUGGUGGGAGACAGUGUCAGGCGGGCAGUUUGACUGGGGCGGUCGCCUCCUAAAAGGUAACGGAGGCGCUCAAAGGUUCCCUCAGAAUGGUUGGAAAUCAUUCAUAGAGUGUAAAGGCAUAAGGGAGCUUGACUGCGAGACCUACAAGUCGAGCAGGGUCGAAAGACGGACUUAGUGAUCCGGUGGUUCCGCAUGGAAGGGCCAUCGCUCAACGGAUAAAAGCUACCCCGGGGAUAACAGGCUUAUCUCCCCCAAGAGUUCACAUCGACGGGGAGGUUUGGCACCUCGAUGUCGGCUCAUCGCAUCCUGGGGCUGUAGUCGGUCCCAAGGGUUGGGCUGUUCGCCCAUUAAAGCGGUACGCGAGCUGGGUUCAGAACGUCGUGAGACAGUUCGGUCCCUAUCCGUCGUGGGCGUAGGAAAUUUGAGAGGAGCUGUCCUUAGUACGAGAGGACCGGGAUGGACAUACCUCUGGUGUACCAGUUGUCGUGCCAACGGCAUAGCUGGGUAGCUAUGUGUGGACGGGAUAAGUGCUGAAAGCAUCUAAGCAUGAAGCCCCCCUCAAGAUGAGAUUUCCCAACUUCGGUUAUAAGAUCCCUCAAAGAUGAUGAGGUUAAUAGGUUCGAGGUGGAAGCAUGGUGACAUGUGGAGCUGACGAAUACUAAUCGAUCGAAGACUUAAUCAA
RNAcentral lists this ribosomal RNA (2234 nucleotides) under Staphylococcus aureus. Lineage: Bacteria; Bacillati; Bacillota; Bacilli; Caryophanales; Staphylococcaceae. The record is from RNAcentral.